RNAcentral lists this ribosomal RNA (209 nucleotides) under Priestia flexa. Its description in RNAcentral is "Bacillus flexus partial 16S ribosomal RNA". It matches the Rfam family "Bacterial small subunit ribosomal RNA", at positions 1 to 203 of the family's 1533-position model. Lineage: Bacteria; Bacillati; Bacillota; Bacilli; Caryophanales; Bacillaceae. The record is from RNAcentral.
UUCUUCGGAGAGUUUGAUCCUGGCUCAGGAUGAACGCUGGCGGCGUGCCUAAUACAUGCAAGUCGAGCGAACUGAUUAGAAGCUUGCUUCUAUGACGUUAGCGGCGGACGGGUGAGUAACACGUGGGCAACCUGCCUGUAAGACUGGGAUAACUCCGGGAAACCGGAGCUAAUACCGGAUAACAUUUUCUCUUGCAUAAGAGAAAAUUG